GGGCUCAGCCAAGACAGCAGGCGACAGCCAGGGUCUUCAGGGCAAAAGUGACCUGGCCUUGUCACCUCUCACCCUCGGGGAUCAGUGUUUUCUCUCCAGGAUGGGCUCUGCGGGCACAGAACACCUGGGUUCAAAUCCCCAGCCAGGUGCCCUGGGCAAGAGUCCUCGCCUCUCUGAGCCUGGGGUUCCUCAUCUAAAACGUGGGGCGCAGUGGACAGUCUGCAUCCGCUAGCUAUUGCCAUAACAUCGAUGCUUGCGCUUAAAUCACAAAAACUCAUCGGCAUAAAAAAACCCAUUCUUCUCAUGCAUCUUUGGGGUUCCUCUGAUCUCACCCAGGCUCCACAGAUCUCCUCCCAUCCUCCUCCCCGGGGGGGCUAGCCCAGGCAUGUCCACUGGCAUGUGGUGAUUAAAACAGAUCUCACAGCCAAGCCGGGGAUGCAAAAUUACGCUUUGCCCACAGUGGGAGAACACCAUGAGGUUAUCUCGCAAAGGCACGGACAAAGGGAAGAGUGGGGAAUUGGGGCCGUGGACACAGUCUAGCACAGGUACCAACCUUGCAACUUUCCGCGGUAAGCGUCCCCCAUUCUCGGUCCCCGUGGGCUAGGGGAAGCCAAUGCCAUCCCCGGCGCCAGCUCUGCCUUUCCGAGGUCCUGAGCCUCAGGCUUUCUCUGUUACAGAGAUUGGCAAGUGAUGGAAGAAAGCCGCUGGGGUGCAGCUGGGCGUCGGGGGGAAAAAGCCCCGUAGCAAGCAGACCCUAGGGGGCCCGCCCAGGCAAGAGGGAUUCCUGGCUGGGGACACUCUUUCUCCAAGUGUCCCUCUGCUUUAGGACACUGCUGCUUCCCGCCGGCUGAAGCAGGAGACACGUGACCCUAUUCUGGCCAAUGAUACAAGAGGGGAGGUCAUUCGGGGAAAGGUUUCCUUCCUUAUAAAGAGAGAAAAAAGAACCACCAUCAUCAUUCUCUUCACUCCAACAUUAGUCUCCCCAACUAAUCCUACUCUUUCCACCAAUAUUACUUUCCACCAAUAUUACUCUCGCCCGCCAUUAUUCUUCCCACCUGCAUUACUCUCCCUCCACCAACAUUACUCUCCCCAACCAAUCUUACCCUUUCCACCAAUAUCACUCUCCCCCCAAUAUUACCUUCCACCAAUAUUACUCUUCCCACACCAUUACUCUCCCCCCACCAUUACUCUCGUCUGCCAUUAUUCUUCCCACCUGCAUUACUCUCCCUCCACCAACAUUACUCUCCCCAACCAAUCCUACUCUUUCCACCAAUUAUCACUCUCCCCCCAAUAUUACUUUCCACCAAUAUUACUCUUCCUACACCAUUACUCUUCCCCCACCAACAUUACUCUCAUCCGCCAUUAUUCUUCCCACCUGCAUUACUCUCCCUCCACCAACAUUACUCUCCCCAACCA
Molecule: long non-coding RNA, 1416 nt
Filed under: Felis catus (domestic cat)
Lineage: Eukaryota; Metazoa; Chordata; Mammalia; Carnivora; Felidae
Description: lncRNA (ENSFCAG00000049374.1)
Source: RNAcentral